UUGGGUGUAAAAGUGUGCGCAGGCGGUUUGGUAAGACAGAUGUGAAAAUUCCCGGGGCUUAACCUGGGAACUGCAUUUGUGACUGCCAGGCUAGAGUGCGGCAGAGGGGAGUGGAAUUCCGCGUGUAGCAGUGAAAAUGCGUAGAUAUGCGGAGGAACACCGAUGGCGAAGGCAACUCCCUGGGCCUGCACUGACGCUCAUGCACGAAAGCGUGGGGAGCAAACAGGAUUAGAUACCCUAGUA
RNAcentral lists this ribosomal RNA (243 nucleotides) under uncultured Pseudomonadota bacterium. RNAcentral's name for it is "uncultured proteobacterium partial 16S ribosomal RNA". It matches the Rfam family "Bacterial small subunit ribosomal RNA", at positions 554 to 792 of the family's 1533-position model. The record is from RNAcentral. Lineage: Bacteria; Pseudomonadati; Pseudomonadota.